RNAcentral lists this ribosomal RNA (253 nucleotides) under uncultured bacterium. Its description in RNAcentral is "partial 16S ribosomal RNA". It matches the Rfam family "Bacterial small subunit ribosomal RNA", at positions 524 to 776 of the family's 1533-position model. The record is from RNAcentral.
UACAGAGGUCUCAAGCGUUGUUCGGAUUCAUUGGGCGUAAAGGGCGCGUAGGCGGCGGGGUAAGUCGGGUGUGAAAUCUCAGAGCUCAACUCUGAAAUGGCACUUGAUACUGCUCUGCUAGAGGACUGGAGAGGAGAUUGGAAUUCACGGUGUAGCAGUGAAAUGCGUAGAUAUCGUGAGGAAGACCGGUGGCGAAGGCGGAUCUCUGGACAGUUCCUGACACUGAGGCACGAAGGCCAGGGGAGCAAACGGG